Molecule: ribosomal RNA, 250 nt
Filed under: uncultured prokaryote
Description: partial 16S ribosomal RNA
Rfam family: Bacterial small subunit ribosomal RNA
Source: RNAcentral
UACAUAGGUAGCGAGCGUUAUCCGGAAUAACUGGGCGUAAAGGGAGUGUAGGUGGCGUUUCAAGUCUUAUGUGAAAGCCCUCGGCUUAACUGAGGGAUUGCAUAAGAAACUAGAAUGCUAGAGUGCGAGAGAGGCAAGUGGAAUUCCUAGUGUAGCGGUAGAAUGCGUAGAGAUUAGGAGGAACACCAGAGGCGAAGGCGACUUGCUGGUUCGCAACUGACACUGAGACUCGAAAGCGUGGGGAGCAAAC